Molecule: unclassified non-coding RNA, 330 nt
Filed under: soil metagenome
Description: partial contains 5.8S ribosomal RNA, internal transcribed spacer 2, and large subunit ribosomal RNA
Rfam family: 5.8S ribosomal RNA (bases 1-120)
Source: RNAcentral
GAUGAAGAACGCAGCGAAAUGCGAUAAGUAAUGUGAAUUGCAGAAUUCAGUGAAUCAUCGAAUCUUUGAACGCACAUUGCGCCCCUUGGUAUUCCGAGGGGCAUGCCUGUUCGAGCGUCAUUAUAACCCCUCAAGCUCAGCUUGGUGUUGGGGCCUGCUGCACUGGCAGCCCUUAAAAUCAGUGGCGGCGCCAUCUGGCUCUAAGCGUAGUAAUUCUUCUCGCUAUGGAGUCCUGGUGGAUGCUUGCCAUCAACCCCCAAUUUUUCUAUGGUUGACCUCGGAUCAGGUAGGGAUACCCGCUGAACUUAAGCAUAUCCAAUAAGCGGAGGA